GUCAUGCGCCGGACGGCCGCUCUUGUCUUAUGGCAGGGGAGGAAAGUCCGAACACCGUUUCUUGCCAAAAGCAUGAAUCAGAGAUAGCGGGUAACGCCCGCCCCGAGCAUAUAAUUUUUAUGUGCUUGGCGAGAUAGUGCCACAGAAACUAUACCGCCGAUCAUCACCUGUUUGAGUUUAAAGCUCGAGCCGUUGAGGAGGUAAGGGUGAAAAGAGUGAGGUAAAAGCUCACAGCGUUUCGCAGCAAUGCGAGGCGAAGGAAAACACUUAUCCGGUGCAAGGCCGCGCCCCGCAGCUGCGGGGAGUGCCGCUUGAGUCCGAGAGCAAUCGAGGACCCAGAUAGAUGGCCGUCCCCCGCUGUUCAUUGAUUUAUUUCAAUGAGGAGCGGGGACAGAAUUCGGCUUAUAGGCGCAUGACAAAA
Molecule: RNase P RNA, 421 nt
Filed under: Candidatus Niyogiibacteriota bacterium
Lineage: Bacteria; Candidatus Niyogiibacteriota
Description: Candidatus Niyogibacteria bacterium RNase P RNA component class A
Rfam family: Bacterial RNase P class A
About the family: Ribonuclease P (RNase P) is a ubiquitous endoribonuclease, found in archaea, bacteria and eukarya as well as chloroplasts and mitochondria. Its best characterised activity is the generation of mature 5'-ends of tRNAs by cleaving the 5'-leader elements of precursor-tRNAs.
Source: RNAcentral